Molecule: ribosomal RNA, 1374 nt
Filed under: uncultured bacterium
Lineage: Bacteria
Description: bacterial SSU rRNA
Rfam family: Bacterial small subunit ribosomal RNA
Source: RNAcentral
GAUGAACGCUGGCGGCGUGCCUAAUACAUGCAAGUCGAGCGAACGGACGAGAAGCUUGCUUCUCUGAUGUUAGCGGCGGACGGGUGAGUAACACGUGGAUAACCUACCUAUAAGACUGGGAUAACUUCGGGAAACCGGAGCUAAUACCGGAUAAUAUUUUGAACCGCAUGGUUCAAAAGUGAAAGACGGUCUUGCUGUCACUUAUAGAUGGAUCCGCGCUGCAUUAGCUAGUUGGUAAGGUAACGGCUUACCAAGGCAACGAUGCAUAGCCGACCUGAGAGGGUGAUCGGCCACACUGGAACUGAGACACGGUCCAGACUCCUACGGGAGGCAGCAGUAGGGAAUCUUCCGCAAUGGGCGAAAGCCUGACGGAGCAACGCCGCGUGAGUGAUGAAGGUCUUCGGAUCGUAAAACUCUGUUAUUAGGGAAGAACAUAUGUGUAAGUAACUGUGCACAUCUUGACGGUACCUAAUCAGAAAGCCACGGCUAACUACGUGCCAGCAGCCGCGGUAAUACGUAGGUGGCAAGCGUUAUCCGGAAUUAUUGGGCGUAAAGCGCGCGUAGGCGGUUUUUUAAGUCUGAUGUGAAAGCCCACGGCUCAACCGUGGAGGGUCAUUGGAAACUGGAAAACUUGAGUGCAGAAGAGGAAAGUGGAAUUCCAUGUGUAGCGGUGAAAUGCGCAGAGAGUAUGGAGGAACACCAGUGGCGAAGGCGACUUGUCUGGUCUGUAACUGACGCUGAUGUGCGAAAGCGUGGGGAUCAAACAGGAUUAGAUACCCUGGUAGUCCACGCCGUAAACGAUGAGUGCUAAGUGUUAGGGGGUUUCCGCCCCUUAGUGCUGCAGCUAACGCAUUAAGCACUCCGCCUGGGGAGUACGACCGCAAGGUUGAAACUCAAAGGAAUUGACGGGGACCCGCACAAGCGGUGGAGCAUGUGGUUUAAUUCGAAGCAACGCGAAGAACCUUACCAAAUCUUGACAUCCUUUGACAACUCUAGAGAUAGAGCCUUCCCCUUCGGGGGACAAAGUGACAGGUGGUGCAUGGUUGUCGUCAGCUCGUGUCGUGAGAUGUUGGGUUAAGUCCCGCAACGAGCGCAACCCUUAAGCUUAGUUGCCAUCAUUAAGUUGGGCACUCUAAGUUGACUGCCGGUGACAAACCGGAGGAAGGUGGGGAUGACGUCAAAUCAUCAUGCCCCUUAUGAUUUGGGCUACACACGUGCUACAAUGGACAAUACAAAGGGCAGCGAAACCGCGAGGUCAAGCAAAUCCCAUAAAGUUGUUCUCAGUUCGGAUUGUAGUCUGCAACUCGACUACAUGAAGCUGGAAUCGCUAGUAAUCGUAGAUCAGCAUGCUACGGUGAAUACGUUCCCGGGUCU